UACGUAGGGGGCAAGCGUUGUCCGGAUUUAUUGGGCGUAAAGAGCGUGUAGGCGGCCAUACAGGUCAGCUGUGAAAACUCGAGGCUCAACCUCGAGACGUCGGUUGAAACCGUAUGGCUAGAGUCCGGAAGAGGAGAGUGGAAUUCCCGGUGUAGCGGUGAAAUGCGCAGAUAUCGGGAAGAACACCCGUGGCGAAGGCGGCUCCCUGGUUGGAUACUGACGCUGAUACGCGAAAGCGUGGGGAGCAAACAGG
This 253-nucleotide ribosomal RNA is filed under the name uncultured bacterium. RNAcentral describes it as "partial 16S ribosomal RNA". It matches the Rfam family "Bacterial small subunit ribosomal RNA", at positions 524 to 776 of the family's 1533-position model. The record is from RNAcentral.